UGAGGAAUUUUGCGCAAUGGGAGCAAUCCUGACGCAGCAACGCCGCGUGGGUGAUGAAGGCCUUCGGGUCGUAAAGCCCUGUCAGGUGGGAAGAAUGUCCCGGAACUGAACAGGUUUCGGGAGUGACGGUACCACCAGAGGAAGCACCGGCUAACUCCGUGCCAGCAGCCGCGGUAAUACGGAGGGUGCAAGCGUUAUUCGGAAUUACUGGGCGUAAAGCGCGUGUAGGCGGUCCUGCAGGUCUGAUGUGAAAGCCCCGGGCUUAACCCGGGAAGUGCAUUGGAAACUGCAGGUCUUGAGUACUGGAGAGGAUGGGGGAAUUCCCGGUGUAGAGGUGAAAGUCGUAGAGAGCGGGAGGAAUAUCAGUGGCGAAGGCGCCCAUCUGGACGGUAACUGACGCUGAGACGCGAAAGCGUGGGGAGCAAACA
Molecule: ribosomal RNA, 428 nt
Filed under: uncultured prokaryote
Description: bacterial SSU rRNA
Rfam family: Bacterial small subunit ribosomal RNA
Source: RNAcentral